AAGAGUUUGAUCAUGGCUCAGAUUGAACGCUGGCGGCAGGCCUAACACAUGCAAGUCGAACGGUAACAGGAAGCAGCUUGCUGCUUCGCUGACGAGUGGCGGACGGGUGAGUAAUGUCUGGGAAACUGCCUGAUGGAGGGGGAUAACUACUGGAAACGGUGGCUAAUACCGCAUAACGUCGCAAGACCAAAGAGGGGGACCUUCGGGCCUCUUGCCAUCAGAUGUGCCCAGAUGGGAUUAGCUUGUUGGUGAGGUAACGGCUCACCAAGGCGACGAUCCCUAGCUGGUCUGAGAGGAUGACCAGCCACACUGGAACUGAGACACGGUCCAGACUCCUACGGGAGGCAGCAGUGGGGAAUAUUGCACAAUGGGCGCAAGCCUGAUGCAGCCAUGCCGCGUGUAUGAAGAAGGCCUUCGGGUUGUAAAGUACUUUCAGCGGGGAGGAAGGUGUUGCGGUUAAUAACCGCAGCAAUUGACGUUACCCGCAGAAGAAGCACCGGCUAACUCCGUGCCAGCAGCCGCGGUAAUACGGAGGGUGCAAGCGUUAAUCGGAAUUACUGGGCGUAAAGCGCACGCAGGCGGUCUGUCAAGUCGGAUGUGAAAUCCCCGGGCUCAACCUGGGAACUGCAUUCGAAACUGGCAGGCUUGAGUCUUGUAGAGGGGGGUAGAAUUCCAGGUGUAGCGGUGAAAUGCGUAGAGAUCUGGAGGAAUACCGGUGGCGAAGGCGGCCCCCUGGACAAAGACUGACGCUCAGGUGCGAAAGCGUGGGGAGCAAACAGGAUUAGAUACCCUGGUAGUCCACGCCGUAAACGAUGUCUACUUGGAGGUUGUGCCCUUGAGGCGUGGCUUCCGGAGCUAACGCGUUAAGUAGACCGCCUGGGGAGUACGGCCGCAAGGUUAAAACUCAAAUGAAUUGACGGGGGCCCGCACAAGCGGUGGAGCAUGUGGUUUAAUUCGAUGCAACGCGAAGAACC
RNAcentral lists this ribosomal RNA (974 nucleotides) under Salmonella enterica subsp. enterica. Its description in RNAcentral is "bacterial SSU rRNA". It matches the Rfam family "Bacterial small subunit ribosomal RNA", at positions 1 to 970 of the family's 1533-position model. Lineage: Bacteria; Pseudomonadati; Pseudomonadota; Gammaproteobacteria; Enterobacterales; Enterobacteriaceae. RNAcentral also lists the same sequence under 1 other name. The record is from RNAcentral.